RNAcentral lists this unclassified non-coding RNA (2081 nucleotides) under Hevea brasiliensis (rubber tree). Lineage: Eukaryota; Viridiplantae; Streptophyta; Magnoliopsida; Malpighiales; Euphorbiaceae. The record is from RNAcentral.
AGAACAUUUACAACAUAAACUCUGUCAAGCAACAGCACUUCAAUAUCCUUUGAAACUUGUGAUAACUGCUGUAAAAUUUUAGCUUUGCCCUUCAACUUUGAGCCUUUAACAGAUGCUUGACUAUUGAUACCUUCAUUAUCAUCCUCUUCAGUUAUAGAAGCAACUGUUUCUAUUGAUGUCAAUACCUCCUUUGAUUCAGCAGGAGCAAAACCUUUCAACUGUAAAGGCUUCAUGACAUAACCUAAAACAACGAAUGGAAACAUCAAAAUUGCCUCUCCAAAGAAUGCCCAACGCCAAUUAAAAUGACCUCCAACCAAUCCACCAUACACAUAGCCAACAGCAUAUCCAGUAGGUAUACACAUGUAAAAUAUUGCGAGCCACGCUGUUUUCUGAUACAAAAGCAGGUAUGAGACAGGUUUACAGCACUUGAAGUCAAUUGCAAAAAUGAUGUACCAAGUCCAAUUCAAGAUGUGCAUGCAAAAGGUGGAGCAAAUAUAAAAUAAAGUUAGGUCUAAAAGCUACUAAGAUCUUUAGGAAGGGCUUAAAUUAAUAUAGUUUGAAGUAAACGCAAGUAUUUCAACAUUCCACAAAUGUAUUUUAAAAUCAGUAUUUUUCUCCAAGUUCAUCAACAAGGUACUUGCCAAUUUGGUGGUAACACACCUUGCUUCAUUAUCAAUAGACCACGUCUAGGCCUACAACAGAGAGAGCUCAAGUGCAAUAUAAAUUCUGUAAUAAGAAAGAAUUAUCAAUUUGUGCUCUCAGAAAUCAAUCUUUCCAUUGUUGUGUAGCCUAUGACACCAAAUGACAGUAAAUGAAAAAAAAUUCAUGAGAUGCUAGCUGAUUGCAUGGUGUAGCUUCAUGGGUGCACACUGCAUAACAUAUUAGACUUUAUUUUGGGACAAUUUCAAUGGAUGUUUCAAUUUUUUUGUUUUACCAUGUUCAGCUUGACCAACCACCAGAUAAGUGCAAUGAAAUAAUUGCAAACCAACUGGAUAAUGUAUCCAAUUGAACUGAAAAAAAAACCUCUAAUAUAGGCUGAUUAACAUUCUGACAUUUCUUAAAUCAGCAAAUCCUAUAAAACAUGGUGCAAAAUUCAAGAUUCUGAUACACUUGAAGCAUAUCAGCUUGGUAGAGUAAUAUUGUGCAGGAUUUGAUGCUGCUAAAUAGCCAAAAAGUUUUAAAUAGUGUAGAUAAUAAUCAGAACACUUCAUAGAAUCAAGAAGUAUCUAUGAAAAGGCAACCAUUAAACAGCAUAGUCAUAUAUGCCCAACUGAAUUAAUUGAUGUAUCAUUAUCAACCAUCAGAAAAAGUGCGUAGGUUUUCAAGCCUCCUAUGAUAAAACAGCUGACACAUUUUACAUAGCAGCUCUGAUGUAUUUCAUUUAUAUCCAAUAAACCUCACCAAGCAUGCUAAUUUAAACACCAUCCAGAGCAAAAAGGAAGAAAACAAAACCUGAGCAACAGGGGCAUUGUCAUCAAUAAAUGGGGCUGCAAGACUUAUAAAUGAAGCCUCACCAAAUCCAACUAACAUGCGGCAAAUUGUAAUGGACCAGAAAUUAAAAGAAAAACCACAGCCAACAACAGCAACUGUCCAAACUGAUAAUCCAACUCCAAUAAGUCUAAAUGGAUUAAAGCUCUUAGCUAGUGAUGCAAAUAUUGGAGAAGCCACAAGAAGUCCAACCAUGAAAGCAGAUGAUAAUACUCCAUCUUCAAAAUUGUUUAAAUUGAAGUCCCCCUGUAUUCCGCUACCAGAUGUGCAUGUACCACCUUUUGUGCAAGUUCUCCGACUCCCAUUGACACCAUUGCUAGCUAUUGCUCCUCUAUCCACAUAAUUUAUCAAGUUGAUGAUACAGAAAAUAACUAGCAGCCUUUUAGGAGUGAACCAUGAAGGUGAAGGAACAGAUAAUGAGGUUGAACUUCUAGCCAUCUGAGUUUCCCUUGAUGGGUUUGGCUCCUCAGUCGAUGAUGGUUUUGUAUCUUUGGCUUCUUCUUGAGCCAUGAAAGCGAUAUAAAGAGAAUAUCCAACUGUACGAACGAAAAGAAAAACAGCUACUAUGACUUGGCUCUUGAAUGGUAGUUAAG